Molecule: long non-coding RNA, 32958 nt
Filed under: Fragaria vesca (wild strawberry)
Lineage: Eukaryota; Viridiplantae; Streptophyta; Magnoliopsida; Rosales; Rosaceae
Description: long non-coding RNA (FVES_LNC000515)
Source: RNAcentral
UUUUUUUUUUUGUUUGGUUUUGUUUGCGAAAUCGUAAUUGUUUUUGUUUUGAAUGGAUUUGUGGUGAUUUGGGAUAGGUUGGUUGUAAAAUGGGGUGUACUUUCUGUGCCACUGGGACUAUGGGGUUUAAGAGCAAUUUGACCUCUGGGGAGAUUGUGGAGCAGUUGGUUCAUGCGUCCCGAAUUUCGCCUAUACGCAAUGUUGUUUUCAUGGUAAGUGCAUUGUAUUUUAGUUGUGUGUUUUCAUAUUGUAUGAAUGUAACUGGAAAUUUUGGAAUUUUGAAUUUGUGUGGUGUCAGGGAAUGGGAGAACCGUUGAAUAACUAUAAUGCAUUAGUGGAAGCGAUUCGUGUCAUGACUGGUUUACCAUUUCAGUUGUCGCCAAAGAGGAUUACUGUGUCAACGGUGAGUAUUGAAAAGUGCAGUUAUGUUUAUCAACUUAUGCUUUUUGUGAACAAGUGUUCAAGGAGGAUCACCUGAGGGACUCUUUAAUAGGGGAAAAUCUGUACAUAAAGUGUUAUCCUAAUAUCACUAUUGAUUGUGCAUUCAAAUUCAGUGUUAUCCUAAUAUCAUAUUCUUGUGCUAUUGUCCAUGAAAAAUGAGAUUUCCUCUAUAUGUAGUAGGCUUUUAGACAUCACCAACAAUACCAUUCCAUUGGUCUUGCUCUUACAAUACGGUAAAGUUGUGUGAUUUUCUCCUGAUGUUCUUUCUCCAUUGUAUAGUCUAGCUAAUCUAUUUCCUUGUUGUUUGUUAUGACGUUUUUCAUGACCAAUAGUAUAUCCAUUAUUAAUAUGGGACACAAUGACUAGAUUAGUUUCCUUUAUAUAUAGCUGGGAUGAUGGGAUCACAUUUCUAGUGAUGCUAACAUGAUUUGGUUGCUCAAUACGAGGGAAUUAAGAUAUGAUCGAUACAUUCCAUGCCCACCUUCCCUAAUUUUCAUCUCAUGUACCACAAACAUGAAUAAUAUCUUAGUAUGCAAUACUCUAAAGUCUUCAGUUGAAGUUAGAUGAAUUUGAGUUGCACUAGUCUUAAUGGAGUGGUUCACGAGUGCUGGAACAUUGUCUAACUAGUGUAUCACUUUUGCAUCUAUUUCUUUUGUAGGUUGGUAUUAUCCAUGCUAUCAACAAGUUCCAUAAUGAUCUACCUGGACUGAAUUUAGCAGUUUCACUGCAUGCACCUGUCCAAGAAAUUCGUUGUCAGAUAAUGCCUGCAGCUCGGGCCUUUCCCUUAGUAAAGCUUAUGGAUUCAUUGCAACAAUAUCAAAAGAACAGGUAAACUUCUGUUUGACCUCAUGUUUUUAUCCACUUUGCUUUCUUUACAGCUAUACCUUAGGUAUCCUUCUUAGAUGUAUUUAGAAUCUUACCAUUUGCCUUUAAUCUUCAGUCAGCAAAAAAUUUUCAUUGAAUACAUAAUGCUUGAUGGAGUGAAUGAUGAAGAGGAACACGCACACCAGCUUGGAAAAUUGUUAGAUACGUUUCAAGUGGUGCGUUCAUAUCCCUCUUUAAGUCAUGUCUCUGUAUCCGUAGAUUCCACAUCAAAAUAACCUUAGACAUUUGUUGCUUUCUGUCAAACAGGUUAUUAAUUUAAUACCCUUUAACCCAAUUGGUAGUCUGAGCAAAUUCAAAACCACUGCCGAAGAGAAAGUAUCUACUUUUCAGAAGAUUCUAAGAGGUACAUAUGGCAUCCGAACAACUGUUCGCAAGGAAAUGGGGCAGGACAUAAGUGGAGCAUGUGGUCAGUUGGUGGUGAACCCCAAUCAGAGGUCAAGUGACAACGCAGUUCCUCCAACUGAUAUAGAAGAUCUUCAGGUCAGAUAGAUCUCUUUUUCCUCCUGAAAUUGAUAAUACCCAGCACUGCUCUGCAGACCAUGAUCACUCCACCUGUAACUUAGGAACUUUGUAUUCAUUCUAUCAUUUUUGUUGUCCGCAGACGCAACAUCUCUGCUGUAAUAUUAUUAUCCGAUCAGUUCUAAAUCUACAUCGGUUUUCCAUUUACCCCUUCAAUCUCUGAGUUUUGUUUUUGUGGAUGUAUGCAUUGUAUAGCGGGACUGAAAGUAAUUAGCAGUUUUGGUUUAUGUCAAACAGGGAUGACUUGAUUUAAACCCCUUUAAUUAGUGUAUUAUGAGUAUAAGAAACAUAUAUUCCCUUUUCUUCUCUCUUUCAUUUCUGAAAUUCCAGGUAUUCAUUUCUUUGAUGUACAUCUUGAAUACUUUUACAUGGAAAUGUCAAAGGUAGAAAUACUGAAAAAGUAUAAUAUGACUGGAAAUUUAUACUGCCAUAUCAUAUGUGCAAGCGACUACACUGCAACUCAGGGAAGGAUGACGGCAUUCUAUCUGAACUAACACGUGCGGAGCAUCUUGACUACUUCUAAAUGUAAAACCACCUGCAACAUCACAUACUACUUUCCAGCUUCUUGAUCAGACCAGUUCAAGGUAUUCAACUUUAUUUUGCUCUAUACAAAGCCGAAGUGUUUACAUUCAUACACAAGCAUGUAAUCGAUUUGUGAAGAGAAUUUUCUCUUGCUCUUCUAAAGCUAUCGUCAAAGUCAUGAAAAUGCAACGAGAAGCGAAUAGUAGAACACUAAUUUUGGUCCUCUUUCUCGCCAUGCUCAUCUGUUCUGGCUCGAUUCACUCGUGCGACUUCGCUAGCUCUCCUUCGCCUUCACCAGUGAGUUGUUCCCACACUCUUCACUAAUCAUACAUUCAACUCUAACAUGGCUCUUUGCCCUGUUCAUUGUUCUGAUACUAGUUUCUUUAUCUGCAGGCCUUAGGGAUGCCAAGACCGCCUGAGCCAUCUAAAGGGAUUUUCAGAAAGAAAAGAAGAGGGUCUUUCCCUUCGAUUUGUUACUCAAAAUGCAACCAGUGCGAGCCUUGUAUGCCAGUUCAAGUAUCAGUCCGGGCAAUGGAAUUGGAAGAAAACGAGUACUAUCCACAAGUCUGGAAAUGUGCUUGUGGUGAUAAUAUAUUUUCCCCCUAGGUAAAUUUUAGUUUUACUGUUGUGCCCGUGAGAAGUUGUCCUGCCCUUUCUCACAGUAACUGGUAACUUUUAUCAGAAUAACCGGCUGGUCUCUUGUGAGUUGUGACAAGUUUCCAUUAGUACAUUAUGUACAUAGAUGUAAGAACCACGUAGUUUGUCCCCGAACCUCGAAUCCAAGCCUCUCAUAGAGUACUGCUAAUCUAUGGGACUAUGGGACUCAAACAUGAUGUGUUUAGUGUGAGUUUCUCCAACAUGAUGUUUGUAAUAUAUGGUGUAAAAUUGACGACCAUACUACAUGUAAAAUUGACUUUGAUCAAGAACAAAUGCAAUUAGCCUAGCUCCAUAUACACGCUAGCUAGCUACACCCUAAUCAUAAUGUGCUGCACCAAACCCCUUCUUCAUUCUCUUUGACACAAAGCCCUCUUGCCUCAAUCAUUUGUCGAGUUACAAAUAAGGUUGAUCGGAUGGAGAACAUAAAAAAAAGCUUUGGCGUAGAGAAAUAUCACAAACAUCAAAAACAUUCAUGGGACGUUUACUAACCCAAAAUGAAAAAUAAUCAUGCCCAGAGAGGGAUGAGAUAAGACAUAAAUGGGGGUGUAGUGAUUUUGGAUGGUUGAUUCCUAAUUCAUCUCCCCUCUUCGUAAUCAAAUUCCUGAGUAUUUAGGAAUUGAUUCCUGAUAAGUGAGAUAUGCAUCAAUUCUGUUUCCUUUAGGUGACACAGGAAUCUGAUUGCCUAAUAAACAUUCCAUUUUAUUAAACGUUCUCAUAAAAUAUGUCACCUUGCAGCCUCCGUAACGGAGCUAAAGUCUCGUGGUACUUACGUUCAAUCGGGAUCACAGCCUCAGUUACCAAUUUGAGGUACUAAAAUCAGCUCGUACUGCGGAUGACUUUCCUAGACGUAUCCGAACAUGAAUAAGUGGCAUAAGAGAAAGGAUUUAUUUUUCUUUAUGCUUUAGGAUUUUUUGUGUACCCUAAUGUUUUAGGAUUUGUGGCGCUCUAUUAUAAAUUAGAGGGAUACUGCUCUGCAAUUCUAAAACUAUCGUCCCCUCUCUAGUCUCUACUCUCAGAGCUGCGCGUGUUCUCCAUCAAACAUCUAUUGCGGUUUCAGCUUCAAAAUGUCAGAAGGUCAGGAGACUGACAAGAACAUUGAGAUAUGGAAGAUUAAGAAGCAGAUCAAAGAACUUGAAGCUGCAAGGGGUAAUGGCACCAGCAUGAUUUCUCUCAUCAUUCCUCCCCGUGAUCAAAUAUCUCGUGUCUCUAAGAUGCUUGGCGAGGAGAUUGGCACUGCCUCAAAUAUCAAGAGUAGAGUGAAUCGUCAAUCUGUUCUAGGGGCGAUCACAUCUGCUCAGGAGCGCCUCAAGCGUUACAAUAAGGUUCCUCCAAAUGGCCUUGCUCUAUUUACAGGAACAAUCGUCACUGAUGAUGGCAAAGAAAGGAAGAUGACAAGGGCUAUAGAGCCUUUUAAGCCUAUUAACGCUUCUCUUUACCUCUGUGAUAACAAGUUCCAUAUUGAAGCUUUGAGUGAGCUCUUGGAAUCUGAUGACAAAUUUGGUUUCAUUGUCAUGGAUGGUAAUGGAACUCUUUUUGGGACACUGAGUGGCAACACAAGAGAAGUGCUUCAUAAGUUUAGCGUCGACCUGCCGAAGAAACAUGGAAGAGGAGGACAAUCUGCUCUUCGUUUCGCUCGUUUGCGAAUGGAGAAGCGUCACAACUAUGUGAGGAAGACAGCUGAGCUUGCGACGCAGUUUUAUAUUAAUACUGCAACUAGCCAGCCUAAUGUUUCAGGGUUGAUACUUGCUGGAUCAGCUGACUUCAAAACUGAGCUUAGUCAGUCGGAUAUGUUUGAUCCUCGUCUGCAGGCCAAGAUUCUGAACGUGGUGGAUGUUGAUUGGGAAAUACUUUGAGGAGAUUAGUCAGGAUAGCGGCAAGUAUGUUUUUGGUGUGGAUGACACACUUAAAGCUUUGGAGAUGGGCGCUGUGGAGACACUUCUUGUGUGGGAAAGUCUUGAUAUCAACAGAUAUGAGCUAAAAAAUGGGAGUACUGGUGAGACUAUUGUGAAGCAUUUGAACAAGGAGCAGGAGAACAAUCAGAGCAGCUUUCGUGAUUCUGAGACCAAUGCAGAAUUAGAGGUGCGGGACAAGAUAUCACUGUUGGAGUGGUUUGCUAAUGAGUACAGGAAGUUUGGUUGCUCUCUUGAGUUUGUGACCAACAAAUCACAAGAGGGGUCACAGUUCUGCCGAGGCUUUGGAGGGACUGGAUGAAUUCUCCGCUACCAGGUUGAUAUGAGGUCUUUUGAUGAGUUGUCUGACGAUGAUGAAGUUUAUGAUGAUUUUGAAUAGCAAUCAAUCAUCUCUUCCCCGGUGCUGGGGCAGCAAGAUGCACGCACAGUUGGGGUUGCUACGCUGCUUCAGAGUUGGUGCUCAAAAGUGUAUCAGGCUUGAUCAAGGAGGCUCCAUUAUCUGAUCCUGAAAAGCUUGAUGAGGUGCUUUCAUCUGGAUCAUUAUCCAAGGGGCUUGACAGGUCGACUACAUGGAAGGAGGACAUUAUGCCAUGAUAAGCUAGCUGCUUCUUUUAGAUCAAGUCCAUUCGAAUAUAUUCAUCAAUGUGUUAAGAACCCCCAGAAGGAUUGUGCAUGUUCUGUUGGUUAAAUAAGUAGUGUUUUAAGUUCUAGUAUUAUGCAUGGUGGUUUUCGUAUGAAUUUAAGCAGCAAGUUACUUCUAGUCUUGCUGCCCUUCUUUUGAACAGUUCUGUUUGUAUUUUUAUAUGUAGUAAUUAAGUUUCCCUAAUUUCGUUUUUUCACUGUUCUUUAUUCUGAUAUUGUUCUUAAUUUAACUCCGAAAAAUUUGCUACAAAUAAAUUCAAGUUCUUGAUCAUAAGUUCAUAACCACCCCUAUGCCCCUUCUGAUGCAAGGGAUAGGACAGUUUUGCAACCUACACUAGCAGCAGCAAUCAAUACAACGCCGUCGGCUGCCUCUUCAAAUAAGUUCCAUCUAGGAGCUUUGCUGCAAAGUGUGUGCAUGCUUGUACAAAUUACAAAAUGGGGAGUUCACUCUUAGGAAUAGUCAGACAUUGAACAGAUGAUUAGAGUUAAACCCGUAUAUUAUGAGCAAAAGAACAAAAUUUCCUCUUUUCUGAUGUACAUGAAUCACUUGUAUACAUUUAGUUGAGCAUGUCAAGGUAGAAUUUGUAAGACAGGAAAAUGAUAAUGUCAUAUGUGCACAUGCUACACUGCUACUGAUCAAGGAAGGUGAUCAGAUUCUGUCUGAACUAAACACGUAUGAAGCAUCUUGACUACUUCUAAAUGUUACAGCGUAAUAGCAAAGUUUAAACCACCCUGCAACAUCACAUACUAGUGAUACUACUUUCCAGCUCCUUGAUCAGACCAGUUCAAAUUCUUCAACUUUAUUUUGCUUUAAACAAAGGCAAAGUGUUUGCAUUCAUACACAAACAUGUAAUGGAUUUGUGAAGGGAACUUGAUUUCUCCUGCUCUCCUAAAGCUAUCGUUCACCGUCAAAACUGCAAAUGACGAUGAAACGAGAAGACGAUAGUAGAACACUAAUUUUGGUCAUCUUACUCGCCGUGCUCAUUUAUUCUGGCUCGGUUCACUCCUGCGACUUUGCAAGCUCUCCCUCGCCUUCACCGGUGAGUUGUUCCAACACUCUUCACUAAUCAAACAUCAAAACAUGUUUCUCAAACAACAACAAAAACAUGGCUCUUUGCUCUUCAUUGUCUUGGAGAAAAUAUGACUACUCGUUUCUUUAUCUGUAGGCCAUUGCGAUUCCAUGACCGUCUGAGCCAUAGGCAUUUGCCGCAUUUACAAAAAGAAAAGCAGAGGGUCUUUCCCUGCGACUUGUUACUCAAAAUGUAAUCAGUUGGAGGCUUGGAGCCAUACAUGCCAGUUCAAGUCUCAGUCCGGGCAAUGGAUUUGGAAGAAAACGAGUACUAUCCACUGGUAUGGAAAUGUGUUUGUGGUGAAUGGUGAUAAUAUAUUUCCCCUUAGUUUAACUUUUAGUAUUACUGUUAUGCGGUGAGAAGUUGUCAUCUCACAAUAACAGUGAUGUAAGAAGUUUUCAUUGAUUUCCAAAAAAGAAAAAAAAAAAAAAAAGAAGUUUUCAUUACGUGCAGUAAAGGUUUGCAUUUUCAACUUCAGAAGUUACACUCAACAAUCCUUUUGAAAAAAGGUCGUUUAUCUAUUUUCAGUAAAAGCAAAAAUUGGCUCACCAUGAAUAUGAAAACCUUAGUAAUCAUUACAUGUAAAUUGAAUUGCAAAUUGAAAAAGCAAUGAACGAUUACUAGAAUACAACAUAGGAUCUGAAUGAAGCCAACCUAGUUCUUGUUCUCCGUUAAGUACUGCUAGUCAGGUGAUCGCGAUUUUUGUUCCCUCCCAUAUUCAAUCAUAGUUGCAGCGUUUUAGUUCCUGCACAAGAAGCAUCAUGGAAUUAUAAGUCGUGAGCAAAUAAAACAAAUGUACUCCAACAUUUCGGUGAGGAAGGGGGAAGAUUUUAAUUAACUCCAAGCACAACUCAACUAUUUAAUAUGAAAAACUUUAACAAAAGAGGAUUACCUUUGACAACAAACGAUGUUUUGUCAUCAAUUGUGUCUUAGCUUUGUCUACAAUAGAGGUCCUCUGCACAUAAUAACAAGGAUGUUAGUGCAAAUGGUGCAGUUUGUAAAGAGUCAGACUACUUUUUAAAUUGUUAACACAACAUGCACAGUUUGAAGGCAUACCCAAACCCUUUCUUUCUUUCUUUGUUCCUUCGUUAGCAUGUAUUGAUCUCUUUCUUCAGGCAUAAAAAAGCGCACAGAGAUCUGUAAAUUUAGUAUACCAGACAGAACAAAUAAUCAAGCCUCAAAUCGAGUACAAGACGCAUGGUGUUCUAUAAAUCAAGAUAUUUGGUCAACUUCGAUUACAACAUCAAGAUAUUUCAAGUAGAAGUAACGCAAAAGUUAAAGAUGACUAACCUUAUCAGUAGUAGCUACAUACAACUCAGGACCUAUAUUCUUGUUUUUGCGAGGAUCGAACUCGAACAAAUUCUGAAGCUUCUCAUUUUCCUGUUACCACAAUGAAAGUUGUUAAUUGGCCUUGAAGUCGGUGAGAAAAUCAGUAAGAACAUAAUACUGAUAAUAGGGUAAAAACUAACCUCCAUAUGUUUUUUAAAUCCAUCAGCCAGAAACCUCUUCAAAAACUGCAGCUGUUAUGGUAGAGUAUCAGAUAUUGAUCAGAAAACUUCAAAUUCUGCAAACUGGUAUCAAGUAAUCAACUAAUCAUAUAGAAAUCUGGAAGUCACUAACCUGAAUUAUUUGAUACCAUGAUGACAACGUUAGUACUUUCCCCUUGACCACUAAAGAUUCUGCCAGAACAUGAGAACCCUGACAAAGAAAACAGUUCAUAAAUUUAAUGCCACAAACUAGAAUAAACACAAGUAACUCUAUAAUAAGGUACUCUUAGGUAAAAGAUAGACUAUUACCUCAAAAUAUCUUGAGACAUUACGGAUUUUGACUGCAUUUUUCUCAGUUCGUAGAUUUAAGUAAGCACAGUUAACUCUCUUUAAAAGAUGGGCUCUAAGUGAUUGUUGCAUUUGUGUAUAACUGGGGCUUGAACCACUUUCAUCAUUCCAGAACUUUUCAAGAGAGCCAGUUUCAAAAAUUAAAGCUAAUGCUUCACUAGCUGCUCCACAUACUAAAUUGUUGUCGUGAUCUAGUAAAUUUGCGAAGUAUGAGAUGGCCCUGUAUCAAUAUGUAUAAUUGUUAUAUAUAUAUCUAUCCCUUCAAGUAUGGUAAAUUGUUUAUUAAACAUAUUUAUAUUUAUAUAAAUAAUGUAGAGAUGCACUUUACCCUUUCCAGUAGGAGUAGCUGAGCCUAAAUCCCUCCAUGCUUGAAAGAAGAAACAACCAAGCAUAUAUUGCGGCAACCAGUAACUCUGCUGAAUUAUUUUUUGUGUUGACCUAAAAGUUAAAACAAAAACUACUUUAGACACAAAUUAUAAGGUAUGAAGGUAGUAACAAUAGGAAUACUUGAGAAACUUAAUAGUGAUUAAUAAACUGGAGAAGUUUAAAAUUUUGUUGUAACUACAGCCGAAUUUGGUAAAAUUUGCACCAAAAAAUGAAACACAAGCAUAGCCAAAGUUACACAUACAACAUAGCCCGACUCUGGAUUGAGGUACUCCCAUAUAUUGUGCAUGGCAUUCUGUGUUUCAUCUGGAUUGGUUGCACCAAAGAAAGCAACAAUAGACAAACAAUCCAAUAUCUGCACGAAAAGAAUAUUUUGUCUAAGAUUCAUAUGUCCUGAGAAAUCCUCUGAAUAAAAAUUAGGAACCAACAAAUUAGUUAAGCUACCUUUAUCGUAGUGGACCCAGAUUUCAGAGCUCCAGAAAGUACAGGAAGCAACUCUCUAUAUAUUUCAGAGAGUUUAUUUUCACAACCAACUAUUGUUGCCAGCAAGCCUAUGACAUGAAAUGAAUUAUUCACCUCUUUGGUAGAACCUUUCUUCACAGAGUUUAAGCAUCUGUAUAGAAAGGUAGCAAACCUGAAGAAAACAAAAUAUCUGUCAAAAUCACAUUGCUGCGGUGUUAAAUACAAAUAGGAACACAUCAUAAUGAGCUUCUACAUGGUCUAGAUCAGUUUAGGUCGAUCUUGCUGCUCUUGCAUACAUGUUCUGUGAAUUCUAAAGUGCUACAGAUAGAAACAGGCAUUUGGCGCAUUAUAUUGUAACUGCAUUGACAGCGAAAUCUAGAUCAGAUUGAUUCUGGUACUUAACUUUCCUUUUGCGUUGCAUACAGAAAAGAAAAGGUAAAAUCAAUCUCUUUUAUGCAUAGUAUUACAUGACAAUUUGGCUAAAAGUGGAACAACUUGGCUAAAAAAGAUUGAACAUCUUCAUUAGAUUUCUUUCAAAGUAAUAUAAACUUGCUUACUUCUCUUCCAGCAAAUUUUUGCUUAGGUUCGCAUUCAAGCCUUCAAUCAUAGAGGCUAGUGUCUCCUCUCGCUUAUCCCCCCUUCAUUGAUAAAACAAACAAACCCAUCAAAUUUUGGUGGCAACCAAAACACCAAGAUACUAAAUUUGAGAAUUACACAAUGACAUUACCUUUUUUCUAAUAACCCUUCUACUAAGUGAGUAGAAAUAGGACCUAAGGGGCGGGGACGAGAAGUUUGAAUCACUUUUUCAGGUAACUCAUCAUCAUACCCAUCAGCAACAGCUCUUCCACCUGUUUCUAUUACAAAAGAAAUUAUCCCCAUCAAGCUACAAGCAACCAAAGGCUCACAUACAAAAUUUCAAACAACCAGAAACGAAAAAGUACAUUACUUUGUUUGCCUCUUUUCUUCAUGGCAUUUGGAGGAUUAUGAUUAGCUCUUGCUCUCGUGUUCGAAAAACCCCGACGACUACUCAUUGUUCCAACUCUUCCAACUAACUCAACAAAUUCCUCAAAUCCAAAUUGCUAAAGAACAAAAAGUACCCUAAUUUGCAACACAAAUAAAUUGAUUUUUGCUAAACUCUAAUUGAAUAUCCACCAGCUCUCUCUUUUCCAUUCGAAUACCGAUUGCUCCGAUCACCUCACGACACCAAAGCUCUUCCUUUUCAAAUUCAAAACACUCCAACAUUGUAAUUGCUUAAGUUAUGAACCUGAUGCAACCUUAAAUAGGUUCUCUUUUGUAUUUCCUAAUCCUACACUGAAAAGGAUCAAACUUUACAAAUUUUCACAAGCAAUCCCAAAAAUUAACAAAAACCCAAUUCAAAUUUCGAUAAAUCGUUACCUGAACCAUCACGGAAUCGAUGCUGAAUUCCAUGUUCAAAACCCACCUGACCUCCUGUGUUGGUGCUCAAUUGGUCAACAAAGGUUUGACCUUUUCACCAGGGAAGCUCUAACUCACACAAUGUGAAGCUCUGUGCUGCUGAGGUCAUGGUGGGCGUCAUCGUUAUGAAACUAUUCGUCUUCCACAAUUUUGUGUUCUUGCAAGUUUUGCUGGGUUUUGAAUGUCUCUGAAGAUAUAAAUAGGUUGUCGGUAUUUUACAUUUGAUCCUCAAAUUAACCUUUCUAUUUCAUUAUUAUCCCUGUGUACUUUUGUUUUGACAAUUUGGUCUCAAUGGUUCAUGGUUGUUUGCCUUUGGCAUGUAGAUGUUUCAUACUUUGUUUUGGCACUUUGGCUAGAUCAAAGUUGUCAUUAAGAAAUAGGAUUUUGUAUUCACUAUCCAUAUUACGACUCAAGAUAGUGUAUCAUUUCACUUGAAUGUUACUAUAUAUUUAGUAACUGAUGGCAAGAGCUAAAUGUUCCAAUUUGAAAUAUUUACAAAGGUUUGGAGAGAAGUAAAAUUGAGACUACUGGUUUCAAUAUAUGGGCAGUAUAUUGAGUAUUACCAUAUAAUUUCUUGCACUUUACUCCGUUCUAUGCGACUCUUUGAGGAAAUAACUUGAAAAGUGUUCCAUCACUGAUUGUAACUUUGAGAAAUAGGGGUCGAUAGAGGUUGAAUAUUGAACAAAUUGAGUGCAGAAUAUUCUUUCUGCACCUAGCUUUUCACCUGUUUCCAUAUUGUUGACCUCAUUCAAGAUUGUCGCGGUGAAAUACUCCACCAGUCCAGCCAUUCCAUAAGAACAUAUGAACAGAUGUCCAACAAAAACAGAAGGUUCAACUUAUAAGACAAUAGUAGACCCUCAAAAGUACUUUAGAAUUUGUUACAAAUCAACAAGACACCUAAAGGCACGAUAGAAAACUGCUAUCAAUUCCUGUGAACCAAAAGUGUUUCUCCCUAGUGCAUAUGCACACAUUUGCAAAUCCUAUGAAGCCAAAAGAGUUUCUACCUUUGCAAUUUGAUCCUCUUCAUUUUUUGGUGUUGGACUCCUGUUAGCCUCAUGAUAUAAAUCAUGUUCCCAUUUCUCAACACGACCACCACUGGAAUGAAAUUCUUGUCUCUCACCGAAUCUAUCUCUUCCUCUGUAGUUGCGGACAGCAGCACCAUUGGUGUACCUUUCUCUUGAAGGAAAGACACCCCUCUGUGCUUCUCCCUUGUGACGCACCCUGUCUCCCCCAAAUUGCUUAUCAGAUCUAUCCAAGUGGCGUCGGUUGUCACUUCUUUCUUCCUUUUUUCUAUUUCCAUCCAUCGAACGGUCAAGAUGGCUUGACUUUGCAGUCUCUACUGCUGUUUUUUCAGUAUCUUCAGACUCCAGUGGAGCCUUCAUCUCCCUGAAUGCCGGUCUUUUCCUUGCAGCUGGUAGAUCAGCCUCCAAUUCUGAGUAACGAUCAUGACGCCAGCUCCUGUUUUCAUCACCAUUAGGUUUCUCAUUUCUUAGCCGUGAACCAUUAGUUUUUUUGCUCGUUGUCUUAUCAUCAUGCUGAUCCCUCGAAUCCCUCCGGCGUCCAUGUUCUAAAAUUGAGCAGCAAAAUAAAUAACACUAUCUUUUAUAAAAUACACCAUAACAAUAUAAUUGGAACCGUAGACCCUGAUGGGAGGAGUAAGACAUCACUAACCCACCAGGCUACCAAGGCACCAGCAGGGAAAAGUAAAUGAUACUAUUGACACCGUAAAAGAUAUUCAAGAUCACAACUGACAGAUAAACUAACAUCGGUUUCAUAGAUUAUCAGGAAAAGUGACAGAAACAUAAAAAAGAACUCCUUUCUUUCUCUUAUGUUUAUGGAAGUAGCCAAGUAGCAUAAAGAAUCUCACCAGAAGUUGAACCACGGCCAGAGCUCCGAACAGCUUGUCCGGCACCAUUAUGCUCAUCAUGCUGCUAUGAGACAUGCACAGGCAAGCCAAAUAUUGUUAGGCACUUGAACGAUUAUGGGGGAGAUCAACAAUCCCACUACACCAACAAAAAGGUUUGCAACACAGCACCCAAGUAAACUCAAUAGAAUGGCGGGUUCUUAGAUGAGCACUUCUAAAUCAAGGUGAAAUCUAGGUUCAAGUUUAAGACUCAUGUCAAUGAAAACGAAGUUCUUAGUGGCUUUUAAGUGUAUAUCAAUCAAAUUUUUUCCAAUUGAAGAAGUUAUGCAGCAGAUAAUUUUCACUAAUUCAUUUAAUAGUUGAGUUACUUUUACUGUAGAAGUUAAUCACCAUCCCCCCACUCAGAUAAAUUGUCUAAUUUUGCAAGAGUUGAUACCACAUCAUUAACAUAAAGCAACAACUGUCACUUACACAACAUGCUACUGUCUAACUACUAAACCUAGAGAUAGUAAACAACUUUUAAGUAUCCCAAUAUAACAAACCAAGGAAGAUAUACACUGAAAGCUGGAAGUCAGAGGUUGAGCCCUAUUGACAAUUCCUAUAGCACAGACACUAAGGCCGCAUUAGUUACCGGACAAUGUUAUCAGAUUUAGACAAUUAAGCUAAAACAAUUAGAAAACAUCACAUACACAUUCUGCAUACAAAGGGAAAUAAGUUGAAGAGAUUCAUAAGUUUAUGUACCACCUGAAAAUAUGAUCGAGACCAGGGAACUUCAUUUGCAUCAGAAGAGUUUUUGGUUAGUUCUUGAUGUCCACUGGGUUUCGCAUCUGACUCCUUCCAGGGAGCCCCACUUUCCACCUUGGCAUUGGAUCGUAAUGGGGACUCGAGUGGCAAUGCAUCUUGAAGCCUGCGCCGCUGCUUUUGUUCCUGGACAUCCUGGUAAGUCUUCUUUGCACCCUCCACAUUACUCUUUUCAAGGACUCUGUCUUUCUCAUCCCUCCUAGACCUCUUGGGACUAAACUCAACCAGUGAAAGUCAUUAGCUACUUGAAAAUCAUCCAUUCUGACUUUCUUAUCAAUCACAACCAGGCACCUGUCUACUUAAAUGAGAGCAUUACUGACAUGGGAAAUGACCUUUCACGGCUUUCUUAACUCGAAGAAAGGUUCAAUCUUUCUAUCAAAUAACCCUUAAUUUGAAAUUUGAUUGAUUACCCACUUAAGUUCACAUUCUAGUUUGUCAAAUUCAACAAAGAUAAAUCACAUUCACAUGCCUGAACUCACAUCAUUUUACACUGAGACUAUUUGUCAUGAGAAACCAACCAAAGUUAACAGCCAGUGUUCCACAUUAUUGCUUUUUCUCGUAUCGGAUGAUAAACAGGAUAACUCAACUCAGUCUGUCAAUGCAUAAAGUCCCAUACUUUGAUUCACAAACAAGUAUAAGAGAGAAAGAGAGAAAGAAAUACCUGGGUUCCCUGUCGAACUUGGAACGGUGUCGUCUGGAAUCAGAAUCGCGUCGGGACAUCGAGAGAGGAAUGGAGAGCUGGAAGCAAAUGGGUACAGUAGUCUUAGUCUUAGGGCUCCCUAUCUUGUGCUUCAGUUGUUUGUUGAUGUUUGGGGGUCUUGCCGGACAGGCUCUGGAAUUUCAUUUAGUUUCGAUUAUCAUAUUUUCAUUUUUAUUUUUCUUUUUUCCAUCUUUAACUUUUGGUGGGUUUACUGCUUUUUCCUUUUUUGCAUAGUGAUAUUCAAAGGAAAUCUGAGAAAUUUUUCAGCGUUACGGGAAGACCACGUGGCAGUAUGAUAUAAUCUUACAUUUUAAUCAAAUAUUGACACAUGAAAUUUAUUAAGGAAAAUUUACAUAUCAAAUAUUGACACAGGAAAUUUAUUAAGAAAAAAUUACAUCAGCUAUUUUGUCAAAGACAAUUUUGGGAGAAAUUUUUCAUCGCUACGGAAUGACCAUGUGGCAGUAUGACGUGAUCCUACAUUCCAAUCAAAUAUUGACACGUGAAAUUUAUUAAGGAAAAUUUACAUAUCAAAUAUUGACACAUAGAAUAUAUUAAGGAAAAAUUACAUCAACUAUUUUGUCAAAGACAAUUUUGGUUUUGUUCACUACUAGAAAAAUGUUCUUAAGCGACGAAAAAAAACAAACAAAGUAAUUUCCGUCGCUUCAGUAACUUUUUAAGCGACAAAACACAUUUUGUCGCUUAAGUGAACACUUAAGUGAACACUUAAGCGACAAAACAAUGUGUUUCGUCGCUUAGGUUAUCACUUAAGCGACGAAAUUAGUUUUGUCGCUUAAAAAGUUACUUAAGCGAUGAAAAUAAACUUUUGUCGCUUAAGUAAUUACUUAGACGACGAACAAUGUUUUACUUAAGUGACAAAAUUUUACCGUGUAAUUUUUUAAAAAUUACAAAUAAAAGCUGAAGAAUUUAGGCGACGAAACCAAACACUUUUGUCACCCAAGUGUCAAUGCAUAUUUUUUUUUUGUCUCCAAAGAGUUAGUGUAUAAAUUGACAUUUUUUUUGCUAAGCUUAAUAGAGUAAACAAUUUUAAGACUGUGAGCGUUGACGGUUCUAAAAACGGAGCUUCGAAGAAUCGUUAAUUAACGUUUUUGUUUUGUAAGAAUUUCGGUUCUNNNNNNNNNNNNNNNNNNNNNNNNNNNNNNNNNNNNNNNNNNNNNNNNNNNNNNNNNNNNNNNNNNNNNNNNNNNNNNNNNNNNNNNNNNNNNNNNNNNNNNNNNNNNNNNNNNNNNNNNNNNNNNNNNNNNNNNNNNNNNNNNNNNNNNNNNNNNNNNNNNNNNNNNNNNNNNNNNNNNNNNNNNNNNNNNNNNNNNNNNNNNNNNNNNNNNNNNNNNNNNNNNNNNNNNNNNNNNNNNNNNNNNNNNNNNNNNNNNNNNNNNNNNNNNNNNNNNNNNNNNNNNNNNNNNNNNNNNNNNNNNNNNNNNNNNNNNNNNNNNNNNNNNNNNNNNNNNNNNNNNNNNNNNNNNNNNNNNNNNNNNNNNNNNNNNNNNNNNNNNNNNNNNNNNNNNNNNNNNNNNNNNNNNNNNNNNNNNNNNNNNNNNNNNNNNNNNNNNNNNNNNNNNNNNNNNNNNNNNNNNNNNNNNNNNNNNNNNNNNNNNNNNNNNNNNNNNNNNNNNNNNNNNNNNNNNNNNNNNNNNNNNNNNNNNNNNNNNNNNNNNNNNNNNNNNNNNNNNNNNNNNNNNNNNNNNNNNNNNNNNNNNNNNNNNNNNNNNNNNNNNNNNNNNNNNNNNNNNNNNNNNNNNNNNNNNNNNNNNNNNNNNNNNNNNNNNNNNNNNNNNNNNNNNNNNNNNNNNNNNNNNNNNNNNNNNNNNNNNNNNNNNNNNNNNNNNNNNNNNNNNNNNNNNNNNNNNNNNNNNNNNNNNNNNNNNNNNNNNNNNNNNNNNNNNUUUUUCAACCAUUCGUUUUAUUUUUUUAUACCCUCAUCCUAGCCUCUCUCUCUCUUCCACUUCAUGUUCCUCCCUUUUCUCUCUGCCUCUUCCUCCCUCUUCCUCCCUCCCUGGCGACUCCGUCUCCUCCCUCCCUAAACUUGUGGACAGUCCUCACCAAAACCAAAGGCAUCAUCAACGCCCACUCCUGCCACUUCCUCGCCCUCUUCGUCGUCUUCCUCCUCCCCGUCUCCAUCUCCUGCACCGUCUACCCAACUCUCCAAAACCUCCUCAUCUCCGAUCACCCACGCAUAAACUCCCAAGAGUUCUUCACCUCUUCCGAUUCUGCCCCUCCUCACCUCCUCCUCCUCGACCUCGCCUUGGCCCUCUUAGUCUUCGUCUUCUCCCUCUUCGAUCUCGGCUCCAUCACCCACUCCGUCUUCCACGGCUUCUAUGGCCGCCUCGUCAAGUUUUGUUGGGCUAUUCAUCGUGGUUGCGAUUGUAUUGCUACAAGAGAGGUAAAUGAAAUUGUGAGGAUAUGUGAAUGAAAUUAGGGAGUUGUGGAGAGAAUUGUGAAUGUGAUUGUGGGUUUAUUUGUGACAGAGGGGUGCCGAAAGUGGUUAUUUGGUGGGAGAGCUCGGCGGUGGGUUUUGUGGGUAGAGGUAGGUGGUGGCGGCGCGCGGUGGUGUGUGGUGUAGGGAAAGAAAAAGAAACAAAAAAAAGAAAAAAAUAAAACUACAAAAAAGAAAAUAAAAAUGAAACUAAAAUGUUUUAAUUAAUUUAAUUUAAUUUAAUGUUUAUUUAAUAAACAUUAAGGGACAUUAAAUGAAAUGAAAUUAAUUAAAACAUUUUUUUUAAAUAUUGUAAACACUAUAGCGACGAAAUGUUUUGUCGCCCUAGAGAACUAUGUUCGUUGCUUAAGUAUUCAGGCGACGACAUGGCUUUCGUCGCCUAGGAGGGCAUUUAUGCGACGAAUAAGAAAUUUUUGUCGCUUAAGAACCUAAGAGACGCGUCAUAUGCGACGAAUCUUAAGCGACGAAACAUUUGUCGCUUAAGUUCUUAAGUGACAAAUUUUAGGGUUUAGGCGACGAAAUAUACCCGUCGCUUAAGAAAUUUUUUCUACUAGUGGUUGUUGCCUUUUAAACCCUAAACCCUAAACCCUAAACUCUAAACCUUAGACCCUAACCCCUAACCUCUAAACCUCUAAACCCUAAACCCUAACCCCAAACCGUAAACCCCAAACCCUAGUCCGAACUCAACAAAGACCCAUGAAUAUCAUUUCACAAAAAAUUCAUACAAAAUAGAAAACCUUAGUUUAUAUUUUAGUAGUAAUAAAUUCAUGUGUUAAUAUUUGAUUGGAAUGUAGAACCAUAUCAUACUGUCAUGUGGUCCUCCUGUAGCAUCUAAAAAUUUAUCUCGAGAUCCCAAAUAAUUUUACCAAAUAUCAGUACCAAAUGAUGUGGCAUAUGCCAUAUCAUCAAACUAUUUAAGCAUGUAUAUUUUUAUUUUAUUUCUUUUGUUUAAAAUAAAAAUAUCAGUAAUUAAAAUUUAUUAUUAUAUGAUUAGAAAAAAUAUAUGAUAAACAACAACCAAAGGAAGAAAAAACCCUAAUCCAACCCUUUCAAUUGUGGAGACUUUACGAAAAGGCCAUCAGCCAAAACUAGAACAACAAAAUACAAAAUCUUGUAUGACUUGGUUCAUUAGUUCGUUGGUAAUCGAAUUAUGAUCUAUUAUGUAAGUCUCAUUCAAGUUCCAUUUUCUAUAUACUUUGACCAAAUCAAAACAUACGUCAUGAGGAACUUACCUAAAGGAGAAGUAUAUUAGAUCAUUGAAUUGGCCAAAAGUAGAAAAUCAAUCAUAUGAUAUAUCAAUUUGUUAUAUUGAAUGACACUAACAUACAGUAGUGGUGUGGUAGGAUAAUCAAUGAGGUUUUGCAAUCUGGGAAUACACAUAUAUGGUACGUGAUGGAGUUAUGAUGUUUUUCAAUUGAUAGCCAGAUCCAUCUUUACUGGAUUUCAUAUGAAUUUAACAAGAGUUCUUAUAUUGAGAGAGAAAGAAAUAGUUGUAUUAUUCUACAUGCAACCUGCUGGAUUUAAUGCAAGUUUUUGACGCUAGUGUCAAUGUUGAUUAUACAGAUCAUUUGGUUUGUUAUUCUUGUCUGAAGGAACUAUGGCGGCGGUAGAUUUGGUUGUUUGGUGACCAUUUAUGUUUUCUUUUUUAUUUAUUUUGCUGAUUAAUUGGUUUCUAAAUAAAAUCAAUGAAAUUACUGGAAAUUAUUAAAUUAGAUGUCAUGACACAGAAAACACCAAAUCAGAGGCCACGUCAUUUUGUAUUGAGUUUUGGUAUACUUUUUGGUGUCUGUAGCAGUGCUCCAGCUAUAAAAAUAAAUAUAAGUUUUUUUAUUACUAAAAACUACUUUAUUGAAUCAACUUAAAAAUACAUCAACUUGAAUUACAUCAUUGAUAUUGGUUUUUCGAGAAUCUCAUAACUAGGUUCUACUGAUAGCAACAAUAAUAUAAGAUUUUGAUAAACUAAUUUUACUAAUAUGCUGUUUGUGAAAUUUUUAGAGCAAACAAAGGUGACUUGCUAAAAAAUUCAAAGUUUUGAUAACUAAAUAUACUAACAAUAAUAUGUUGUUUGUGGAAAAAAUUUGAGUAAAGAAAGGUGAAUUGUUAAAUGCAUCGUAUGUUCAUUAUCUUGAUCUAGUGAAGAAGAAUGCAGCAGUGGUUUAGUUCACUCAAGAACGUUCAACAAAGAGAAAACCACCUAGUUUUUUUUUUUAGCCCCAAAAUCUUCGGUUGGGCUUGUGCCCUACCAAAGCCUUAGCUGCCUCCGAGCCUAGUGGAGGCCCCAUGUGCUCCAAGGCACGAUCUCUACCAGAGGGCUUUCGUCUGAGGUACCUCGGCAAGCGAUCCCUCCGCAACGGGGGCGUCUCGAUUAAUCUUGAACAAAAGAAGAAAGAGGCAGAGACAGCGGAUCAAGAGGCAACAGCUCUGGAGCAGCAUAGGACAGGCCCCAGAUCUGAGAUUGUGGAUCACUACGGUCACCUCUAACCUAUGAUUUAAUAACAGAUUUGACUGUUUAGACUCUUUAAUCGAAGUUUGAUCUGACUAUUCAGACUCUCUUAUCGGUUUGAUCUGGGUUAUGUGGUUAUUUUUGGAAAUUGAUCUCAAUUUCAGCGACUAUUCUGAUCCGUUAAUUGAAAUCUCGGUUUUGUGAUUGUGCUUAGUUUGUUUAAUCAAAAUCGUGAUUGUUUUGGGUUUUGUUUAAUCCAAAUCAAUUGGUUUCUGUGCCUAGUGGGUGUGUGCUUGCUUUGUUUUUGUUUAAUCAAAAUAUGGGUUUCUGUGACCAUUCUCAAUUUGUUUAAUUGAAAUCGUAACUAUUCUGGGCUUUGUUUAGUCGAAAUUAAUUGGUUUCCAUGCUUAGUGGGUGUGUGCUUGCUUUGUUUCUGUGUGAUUAUAUUAUAGUAAUUGUGCUUUAAUGAUGAAACAUGAUUAUUUUGACAAUGUGUUCAGGAUAAAGGUAUUAAGAGUUAAAAGAUGGGAAGAAGUUCUUAGGACAAGUAAUGUAAGAUGUUUAGACAACUAUGGUAGGAGGAUAGAAGAGAAGGUUGAUAAGAGGAGGGAUGGCUUUUAAUUAGCAAGUUUGCUUCAGUCAUUCAUACAUACAUGUAACUCCAAGCUAUUAUAUUAGGCAAAGUUCUUACUUCAUAGCGCUGCCCAAAGCUCCAAGUCAUCGUCAAAUUUCUGAAAGUUAGAUACAAAUUAGACUAUUAGAGGAUGAAGCGACAAACUUUGACAAAUUUGGGAAAAAUUGUUUAGUACACUAAACCAUCGAAUUUUUUACAUAUGAAAUUUAAUAAUCACACUUACAAUCAUGUCUUGAAUGGAGGAAGCAAAUGAUUACAAGCAGCUAAGAAAUUGAUUAAUUGAGGAAGUGAGGGACUGAGUCACUCACAAAUUAAAGAACGGAGGGAUUUGAGAGUCUGGAGGCCAGUGUCAUUGUCUUGUUGAGAGGAAGAGAGGGAAAGAUUAGGGUGGAAUUGUGGAAUUAGGCAAAGUUCCACAAUUAGAGGAUGAAGCGAUGAACUUUGACAAAUUUGGGAAAAAUUGUACAAUACUAGUAACCAUUGAAUUUUUUACAUAUGAAAUUCAAUAAUCGCAUUUGAACACAGAUCAACGUCAACCUAGACGAAACAUGAUUCUCUUAGGUUGUUCCAUUUGAACACAAUCACAUUUUUGAUACCUACACAACUAUAAAGAUAAAUAUAAUAAUUUUUUUAUUACUAAAAACUGCUUUAUUGAAUCAACUUAAAAAUACAUCAACUUGNNNNNNNNNNNNNNNNNNNNNNNNNNNNNNNNNNNNNNNNNNNNNNNNNNNNNNNNNNNNNNNNNNNNNNNNNNNNNNNNNNNNNNNNNNNNNNNNNNNNNNNNNNNNNNNNNNNNNNNNNNNNNNNNNNNNNNNNNNNNNNNNNNNNNNNNNNNNNNNNNNNNNNNNNNNNNNNNNNNNNNNNNNNNNNNNNNNNNNNNNNNNNNNNNNNNNNNNNNNNNNNNNNNNNNNNNNNNNNNNNNNNNNNNNNNNNNNNNNNNCCCAAAUUUGUCAUAUUCGGUCGUGUGUCUGAAAAUACUAGCAUUUAACCUGAAGAUGAGGUAAACUGUUUGUUAUUUUUUUUUCUUUUGUUGAUGAUUCGUCUAUCUUUUACUCAUUAUUUCCCAUGUUAACUUUGUAUGUAAAUUCUUAUAGACAACUACUGUACCAUAUUUAUGAACAACGGAUAGAUCAGUUUAAAAAACUUAGAAGUAUGGAAGGCAUUGCUAUUAGAGAUAUAUUUACAGACAUUGUGCAUCUUGAUAUCGACUGAUACCAUUGAGUUAUAAAAUUUGAGAGUUUUUCUUUGUUCUUUAACUUGGAUUUAUAUUUUCAUAUGAAUUUUUGUUCAUUUGGUGAUUUUACUUAGCUUGAGCAAAUCUGAAUUUUACAAAAUAUAUGAAAAGAAUGUAUGUAGGGUGAACAAAAUAGAAUUGACAAAACAGAUUUUUAGGUAUUGUUAAUGGGUGAACAAAAUAGACUUACAAUUAAAUUUAUAUGAGUGGGGUGUGAAAAGAAUGUGGGGUGAGCAAAGUGAUUUGUGGGGUGGCAAUAGACGCACUCUAUAAGGUUUUGAUAAACUAAUUUUACUAAUAUGCUGUUUGUGAAAUUUUUAGAGCAAAGAAAGGUGACUUGCUAAAAAAUUCAAAGUUUUGAUAAACUAAAUAUACUAAUAAUAAUAGAGUAGCGCUAGAGACACCAAAAUUUCUUACCAAAUUGCAAUCCCAAACGAGGUGGCAUUUGACAGUACUUCAUCAAUUUAUUUGCUUAAUAAAAUCCUAGGUGUAAUUAUAACAUAUAUCAAUUCUUUUUUAUUUGUAAAGAAAAACCACUUCUAAUCUGGUGACAAAAGAACCCAACUCAACCAUGAAUGAAAUUGGGGUAUUCAACUAAUCAACCAUCGAAGGCUAUCAUCUUAUAUUCUUAUUGUAAUCUUGCGACAUGUUUAGUUGUUUACCAUGAAAAGCUUUACUGUUUGAUUUGAAGCCCCAAGCUACAUCUCUUGUUCCAGAUCGUUUUCGCAUCUAUAUCUUCAAGCUUCUCCCAUAUCUUGGCUUGAAACCAAAUUCUACCCUCAAAUUUGAUUAUCAACAAAUUUCUAAAAGAAUUUGGGAGGAUCGCCUACAAGUGUAUAAUAUUGUUGUUGCUAACUUGAUAAUCACCAAAACAAAAUCAAUUUCAUUGAAAUUCGCUCAAUGAUUUUAGCAUGCACAAUGAGAAUCUCCAUUGAAUUGGUUUUCUUAUAAGAUCUUGAAUAUCUUUUACUUAAUCUUGAAUAUCUUCUGCUUAAUUAAUAAUAAUUAUUUUUUUCAAAAUUUAUCAGUAAAAAUGGUUAAUUGGGUUGAAAUUAUAUAAAAAUUAUUUGCUUGAUGACAUGGCGAACACCACAUCAUUUGGGAUCCAUAUUUGGUACAAAUUUUUGAGAUCUCUAGUAUUUUUGAUAAUAAUAUGUUGUUUGUGGAAAAAAUUUGGGGAAAGAAAGGUGACCUGUUAAAUGUAUCGUAUGUUCAUUAUUUUGAUCUAGAGAAGAAGAAUGCAACAGUGGUUUAGUUCACUCAAGAACGUUCAACAAACACCAUAACCGUUAAAGAAUAAUGUGAUGUUGAUCGUCAUACAGUAGUGAAAAGCUUAGACUCAAUGAUCGUGAGCAGUGGCGUAGCCAAAAAAUUUAUCGAGCAGGGUCAAUAUUUAUAUAUAACCAUAAUUUACAUAUAUGUUAAAGAAUUAUCAAAAUUAAUGCUUAAUAAAAAUAAUUAUUUUGUUAAAAUGUUAACAAUAACAUCUUUAAUUGUAAUGCAAAAUAUAUUACAUUGAACUGAUCUAUCUGGAAAAAAAAAAAUUAGAUGCCCUGUAAGAAAUAAGAAGACAAGAAAACUAAUAGUAGUCCAAUGUGUUAUUGUACUCCAUCUAUUGAAAAAGUUUCUUCUUUUGUCUUUUUUCUUGCUUGAAUCUAUGUAGCAAACAGAUUCUUUUGUUAGAGAAAAGAUAAAUAUAUACAAACUUCAUAUUACAUUUGUUGAUCAUAGGUUCAUCACCAAUCUUGAACUACGUGAUUACUAGAAUAUAAUAGACCAAUCUUUUCACAAGGGUCAAUUUAUACAAAUCUCAGCUAAUUGGUUUAGUUUUAUAUUGAUUGAAGCCCCCAAUCUUAACCACAUGAGCAAUUCUCAAAGUUCAAAGAGGUCACCUGAACCCUCUCGUCCUAUACAUUGCCUACGCCAUUGAUCGUGAGAGGUUAAGGCCCAGUUUGGUUUUGAGUUUUGAGGAUUAAAAUCACUUAUAAUCAUUAUUUUAGAUAGAUUUUCUAUUUGGUAAAAUCUUAAAACGUGCUUAUCUAUAGCUAUUUUGUUUAAGGGUUCCAAACCCCUUUCUACAAUAAAAAAAAAAAAAAAAACUAAUUUAGUUUAAAUAAUCACAAUUUUAGAAAGCAGGUUGGGGUUACUUAUUUAAAACUGAGUUUUUAAACUACAAUACCAAACUAGUAGUAAGAACUGCGUACAAUCUCAGACACAAGUCAUCAAGGGUGUAGCUAGCUAUCAAAUUUUUAAAAAGAGUAAAUAAUUAGCUUUAAUUUGUAUUGGAUAUUAAUGGAAAUGAAACAUAAAUUGACCUUUCUCCUCUAAGAAAUCUUUAAUUAGUCUUAAAUAUUCUUCAACAAUAAUGGAAUGAAAUAAAAAAUUAUACUAUUAAAAUACUUAAUCCAAUUAAUACAAAUCGUGUCAAGAGUUUAUUACCUUACUAAUCCUGACUAAAUGAAAACAACACAUUAAUGUUUACCAUACAUCUACAUGCAUUAUCUCUCGAACAAAAGAAAAAGUAACAUAUUCUUUUUCAAUAUUUAUCGUGCAUCAAAUUCUAAUCCAAAGUUUAUUCGAGAUGAUAAUGAUAGAACAAAAAUAUUGUUGAAAUUAAGUUUGCGUCAUUCUUUUAAAUAAUUUAAUUUUCUAAUUAAUCAAAUUCGAUAUUUUUAAGUGAGAUGUCUUUCUACGCCACUGCAACUCAUGCUUCUAUCCCUGGUCAGUUCAGCACCAAGCAGCUGACAGGACUCCUAAAACUGGCAUGGGACUUGGACUUGUUCUCCGAAAGCUUUAUAAAUCCACGAUGUGUUCAUCAGUUCAUGCCACGUAUCUUAGUCUUAACUGAUAUCUUGUACUUACUGUGAGAUACUUACUAUGAGUUAUGAGGUCAUGAGAUGAUAAUGUAACAUGAGAAAGUUUAAGAUUUACUACUCUUAAUGUGAUUGAGAAAGUUGAUGGUGUAGACAUUCACUUCACUUUCAUAGGAACUUGUAUGAUCUAGUUGCAUAUAGUAUUUCAAAAUUCCAGAAGAAAGGUUUCGACUCCACAGUUGUAAUCCCUUUUAAAUUAAAGCUGACUUCACUUGCUAUGAAUCAUCUCUCAACUACUGUUACAUCUUCAACCAGAUUUAAUCUAAAGGCUUCGAAGUUGGAACUAUCUGUACCCUCCAUUUUAGGUCUAAUUAUCCAGGGUUAGUCCUACAGCAAAUUCAUUUGUAGCUUCGUUCUAGAAUUAAUUAAAGAUAAAUCAGCUACUGAAACAUGAACAUCUCACCUAGAGUUAAGCUACACAGAAGCCAGAAGUCUAAAGCAGUACAUCACCUAGCUAAGAUGCAGCAGCUCUAGAAAAGCCUCUUAUUCUCAGACAGCAUCUCCAGCACCGAAAUCGAUGUAUUCUUGGUCAUUAGAAACAGCUCAAUUGCAAUAGAUUGUACUCAAAUCACUAUCGAGAUUUGAACCUGCUGCACCAUUUUAUCAGCAGUGCUUCAACUUUGGCAUCCAUUCUGGUCCCAACUCCUCCCCAAACCAGCAUGUGAGCAAGGUCUCCAAAUGUUGAACCAGUCACUUCAUACACAGCCUUGAACCCGAUUCUUGAAUAGAACCUAACAAGCUGAAAACAAAUAACCGUCCAAACUCAGCAACAAAAUCAAAGCAAUACAGUGAAAAUCGCACUCUGGUUAUAAAGGAUAACUCCAAUGCUAUUUGAGCUCGAUGCAAGUCAUAAAACAAACUUCACUCACUAAACCAGCACCAAAAAUAUUUUAGAAACUAAUUCUCAAAACAAGCUUGAGUUUUCACUAUAGAAUAACAGAAUACCUUUUCUACUAAAUUAGACUACGCUAUAGCCUAUGGUAUCACUAUACUAGAAAACCAUGAUAACAAAGCCAAAGAAUAAUGACCUUGUGAUGGUACUUGUCAGAGUCAUUGAUAGCCAGCAACUCAGCUGUGUUGCAACCACAAUCAUAGCCAUGCCGAAUUGCUACUGCUCCAAUGAACAAACCAAUGCCAAAGAUUGACUUCUCCAUUCCGAUCGUCUCUCUUCGCAACCUGAUUGAAUCCAAGUGAAGAAUUCUCCUUCUGAGCCAGACCCUUAUGAAACCCUCAGCCCUGCCAAGCUCUUCCUCUGUUUCCAAGCUUUUGGCUGUGAUUCUGAAAAAGGGUCCUAGAAUUUGAAGCUUAAGGUCUAGUUUCUGGGACCUUGAUGAUUCCAAUAUCUCAGACAUGGUUGGCAUAGUAACUUCAAAGCUAUCCUCCUUUCUAUUCUGAACUGGGGUGGUGCUAUUCUGGAUUGAAGCCUGAAGUUGUGAAGCAAUUUGGGUUCUAAAUGGGCAUCUGGGGUUUAGUAUGGAGAAGUUGGAACUUGCCGCCAUUGAUGCUAGUUCCAUUUUUAUCUGGGAUUGUGGAACACUUGAGGAAGGAGUCGGAUUCAGAAACAUAAAAAAGAGGGUAUGCUUUUGCUGGGAGUCAGGGACACUUCAAAACUAACUUGAAAUCAAAGAUCCAAUGUUUAGAUAAGUACACGUGGCAAUACCACCAUCCUGCUUGUGUGGCGAUGUCAUGACCAUUUGACCUAAUAAUAUUAGUGUUCAUAUCAGAGAAACCAUGUUGACCAUAAUUAGAAAACAAACAUCUGUAAGUACACUUAAUUACAAACAAUCAUAUUCUGUUAUUUACAGAGAUAUGUACAAGCCAGUAACAAGUAAAGUAGUCUUAGAAGUUUUGACUGCUCUUAACAAAGAACACAUCAAUAGGUAUGUAUUUAGUUUCUUUUGGAGAUGAUUUAUGCUUUUUGUGUUUCUUUCUUCUCGAAUCCUGAUCCUUGUUGACAUUUCUGAGAAAUACAAAUCUAAUUAGAUCACAUAGGUUUGAUUGGAAUAACCAAAUACUAAUAGCACCAAAUGAAAAUGUGAUGUACCUAUGCCUUGGCCUGGAAGCUCUCAAGUCAAUGCCAGAUUCUUCAUUCUGAAGCUUCUCGGCAAGAUGAAAAUCAACAUGUUCUUGCCGUUCUUCAACAAAAUCUGGUGGCAUUUCUAUGCCACAGAUCGAACACUUGUAGUCAUCCACCCACAAAAGCCAAUCUUUCUGAUGAGAUGAAGAAAUUGGACAGUCCUCAAGGGUGCUAGUUAAACUAUUUGCUCUGUCUUUGCUACUGCCCUCAGAGUUCCCAAGAAAAGAAUAACCUGCUCUCAACAGCAGUGAAACUCCAUUUUGUACAUUGCCCUCUGUCCGUAUGUCAUUUGAAUUCAUCUGAAUAUAUGAAAAAUUCCAUGCAAAGCUAAAGAGUUACACUUUAAAAAUAUAAAUGCUUUUAUAUAUUUACAGAACUAAGUGAUGCUGCUUUGAGUAAAGAUCAACCAUUAGCAACAUAGCAUACCUUUGUCAAGAAACAUACCUUAUCUGAACUCAGAUUGCUCGUAGAUUCAUCAAGUUUUUCCUUUUCUUCAGAAGUGCCAGACAAAGUACACUUCAGGUCAUCAACAUGUGAACAAUCAUUGCCAUCUAGAGGAUCUCCAUGAUCACAUGGAUAUGUUUCAUGGGUUUCUUUAAAUAAACAGGAUUCUUCAACAUGCAUCGAACGAUGAUCAAUAGAGUCCGAGUCCAAGGAGAUUUGAUCACCCAUAGUUUUCCUUGAAGCAUCUCCUGAUAAAAGAUAGUCGGUGAGAGUUUUUUGUGUGGGAUCAGAUGAAGCACCCUUAUCUUCUUCAAAAUGAGACACCCGCAGACCUGACAAAAGAUGACAGCAGUGUUUUUGUUAUACUCUUAGCCAUAACAUCGAGUUAUGUACUCUUAAAAUAGAAUAUCAAUCAUUAUACUGGAUAAGAAUGAUUGAGAUUCAGAAUGAGUGAGUGUGAAGAGGGUUGAUAUGAAAAAUUGCAAAUCCUCAAGUUCGAUCAUAUAACUUAAAUUAAAUUUACAAUUGCUUGCAUGCUUAUAUUAAAGAUAACAAAACACUGCCGUCUGUUUCAUAGACAAAAUCCCCAUGGCACUCCGGGACGGGAAGCAAUUGGAGCUUAUUGGCAGAAAAGAAUUACUCUGGGAUUGUCUCAUAAACAUACCAAAAUGUGACUCAACAUGCACAUUUAUGUCUGAGCCAUUAGGUUUUCAAGAUUUCAGAAGGCUAGGUGUCAAAUGGUUUGGGCUUGAAUGCUAAUGUUAAACUUGCAAGAAUAUGAGAACUACUAAAUGUGAUUCAAAAUACUCACCUAUAAGCCUUAUAGAAACAGGAAGUUCAGCCUUAAGCAACUUUGAAGCAUGCUUCAAUAUAUCCUCAGUCGAGCAUAUAUAUUUUUGAGAAGUCACAGCUCUGGUGCGAACCUAUCAAUUGUAAACUUAUUAGAAUUAGCAGGAUAUUGCAGCAUAAAAAUCACACAAAUGAUGACACCUAAAACUGAAAACAGUCGAAAGGAAAGAAAAAAAAAAAAAAAAGAACUAGAUAGUGCACAUAUUAUGUGAAAGCUAGCCCUAUCAGUGGUAUGGGAGUACAGCAUCAGAACUCCAGAAGUACCUCAAAAGCUGCAGUUUUGAGUUUAAAAGUCAAUGUUCGCCCACAAAGGCCCUCCUUUUGCAAGUCAGCCGAUAGCAUCUCUGCAAUCUCAGCUGCAGGUAUAGAAUACACCUCAGUUUCUGGAUUAGUUUACAACAUUUUAAAUAUUAAAGGACACAUGUACAUCCAAUUCUUAUGAAUGGUUAAGUGGUUGUAUACGUUUGGACAUAAGGCUAAGGCUACAUAGACUUCAGCCAAGACUUGAUACUUUUUCUUUUUUUGGGGGUCUGAACUCAAGAUUCGAGUACUAACACUAAUUUCAACAAAAAAAACCUUUCAUAUUUCAGUUGAAUAAUUAGAACUUUGUUACAGUUGACCACGGACCUUGAAAUAUGCACUCUGGCAAACUGGUAAAGAAUAAAUGAGCACAUGAUAUUCCUUAGUGAGGAUAGUAUUAGGCAUAAUCAAUCUACUUCUAAUAAAGUUUUUGGGGGAUUCAUACUUCAUUGAGAAUAAGUUCAACUACAAACAGGUAAUCUCCAAUUCAUAGAAGGUGGAAAUCAAGAGAACAUGAGAUGUCAUUGAAGAUAAAGUAUAAAAACAUAGCAUAGGGUCAUCCGACUAUAUACCUAACUUGUGAUAGAGAAAUGUUUCAUCCCCUGUGGCUGAAAAGGUCCUCUCAUUACUUAUACUUUUCCUCAAUCUGGCUUCAGGAGUAUCUGUCCUCCCAAUGGCAAGUCCCACAGAAAGGAAAAAAUCUGCAAUGGAAGGGCAGACAAUGAGCUACAAUCAUAUGAUAUGCACAGGAACUACUUUGGAUUUUUUAAGGUGAGGCCAUGAAGAGAUAGGAAGGAAUGAGGUACGAUAUUAUAUAAGCAAAGGGUCUAAGGUUAGUGAGUACAAGAUAUUUAGACAAGUUUUUAUAUAUAUUAAUAUAUAAUUAUAAAAAGAUGAACAGUAUAAUGAAAUGACAACCUGCCGUAGAAUGAGAAAAGAGAGCACAGAUAUAACUGCUCUUUUGCAGAAUCUCCUCGCAAGUACUAAUUCCAAGAGCAUCCCUUAAAAUAUAUUCAGUGACUUUUCCAAUCCCCCCAAUCUGUACCACAUAUUGCAUUCAGCAUCUUGAUCAAAAUGCACAUUAUAUAACGAGCUUUAACAAAUACAAACAUUAUAUUCUGGAAAACAUAAUUGUUCAAGAGAAGAUUGCAGUGGUACUUUGUAUGCUGCAAUGAUGCAUAAAAGUUAGAUAUACCUUACGUACAGGAAGUGAUGAUAUAAAUGUCAUCACAGCCAUUCGAUUGCUUGGUAAAAUAAACUGUCCAUUUGGCUUGUUUAUAUCUGAGCAAACCUGAGGAAUGAAAAGUGAAGAGUUUUCCCAUCAGAUAGUCUCAAAAAUCAAAUUUUGUGCUGAUAGUUUUAGCCCAGAAAAAGUACUGAAAAUGUCUAACCCCUAAACAUGAUAAGUAUAGAAAGAAGUUCCGUAUCAGUGGUAGACAAGUAAAGUGAUAUGAUAACAUAGAUCAAAGAAAUUGACAGCUGCAUAUGCUUUACUUUUUUGUCAAUAGUACCCUUUUCUUUGCAGACAUCAGUUACCAGAAGCAAACUCUAACCUUUUCAUAUGCAUGAAAUUUAUUGGCCCCUAUUAAUAGGGACCUCAGCUUGAAUUGAAGUCAUAUACUCAAGUGGACAAAGAGACGACUUGCCACACCUUAUUUAUCAGUAAAGUGAGCUGAAACAGUAAGCCACAUUGAUCAUAUGCUGAUGCAUAUGAAGGUAACAUCAUUCAAGAGUUCUUUCAGAUUACCUUAGCAAGUAGACGGUUUGGUGCUACUCCAGCGCUACAUGUUAGACCAGUCUCUUCAUAAACACCAUCUCUGAGUUCUUUGGCAAUCUUCAUGAAGGAAAAGUUGCAAAUGAGAUUUUAACACUAAACACUACAGGAGGAAAUAAGAAUCCAAGUAAAGUAUAAGCAAUGUGAUAUCACAUGUUGAAGCCCUAUACACUCACUUCUUCCCCAGUAGUGUCCCUUUCUUUGCAAACCUCAGUAACAUCAAGGUACGCUUCGUCUAAGCUUGCAGCCAGGAAGUUAGGAUCAUACUUCCGAAACACUAAAAAAAACAGCAUGUUACGAUUAGAGAUACACACUUAACAUAAAGAAUAAUCACUAAAGAUCUGCAUUUGAGAACUCAAGACCUACCAUUUCUAGUUAAAUCACUGUAAUGAGUGUACUUCUUGAAAUCCGUUGGAACAAAAAUUAACUCCGGACAUAACUUACGAGCAAUGAAGCCAGGCAUUGCAGCUCGAACCCCAAAUCUCCUUGCCUACAAAGUGACCAGACCACAUAAGACAACAGCUUCCGAUACGAAAUCCAAUUGUGAUGCCACAUACAAAAGUACUUGUACCUCAUAAUUAGCAGUUGAGAUCAUGGACAUACCCCCAACCGCCAUUGGCUUGCCCUUCAAUGACGGCUCACGUAAAGUCUCGACAGCUGCAUAGAAAGCAUCCAUAUCCACAUGUAUCCAAACCCUCGACAGGUCACGCAUUGCUUCCAACUCUGUAAUUCUCCUAUCAGCAACCUACAAAGACACCAACUUCUACCAUAAAUAAAAACCAAUCCCAAUCUUACUAAUCAGAGAACAAAAAAAAAAAAAAGACCGGCAUUGAAUCUACCUUCUGAUAGUGAGCCAAAUCAGCGGCGGUGAGCUUCGCACACCGAGCACGCAUGUUGUCUAUCUUCUCCUUAAUAAAAGCCUCCUUGCGCUCCUCGUUCUUGAAAUACUGCGAUCCUUUACUCAUUUCAUACACUACUCUCUGAACCUUCUCCUUAUCCACGCCUUCCAUACCUAACAAUUUCGAAUUACAAUACAACAAGACUCGAUUACGGAUCAACCAGAAAAGUGAAUUGGAUUCAAAUUCUACGAAUUCGAUUUAUCAAACCCUAAUAUUUAAAGGUAGACAUUUUCAAACGAUUUUUGGUUGUGAUAGUGGAGCCCCGUACCGGCUUUGGCAUUGGUGUAGACGGUGUUGUAGGACUGCCACGGCCGAGCAGCGUCGCCGGCGGUUUCUGAGUUGGCCAUGGUGGAAUCUUUUUCGCUCCAAAAAUCUGAACUUCGGAAGAAGAAGAAGAAGAGGGAAUGAGAGAAUUGGGGUUGUGGAGCAACACUAUAAAAUUGGGCUGGCCCAAUGAAUGGCAUUACUUGAAAUUAGAAAUUCUUCUUUUGCAAAUACGAAGUGUGUUUAAAUUUAAGAAUAUUAUUGCCACAACUUAUUUGUGCCUUUUCUGUUUGGUUGGAGCUCUGAAGAACUGAUUAGACUGCUUUGGUGGGGGAAACGCUUUUGAAACUGAUGAGGCUCGGGAGACAUGUAGCAACACUAGAAAUGGUCUGAUUAGACAUUCUCUCACCCGUAUUUUUAAAUGCUUCAACUGGAUUUAUAAAAAUAAAUCAUAAUAAAAAUCACAAUUUCAGUAGUGACGGUCUAAAAUUAUUGCUAUGGAUCUUAAACUUUCAUUAGUCUUAGCUGAGUUUCUAGCAUUGUGCCGAGAGAUGAUCGAAGAGACAUCAACACAUGUUAUAUGCAGUCGUCCAAUGCAGGCUUAGCCUCCACUUUCUUGUUAUAUUCCUCGUCCAUUAACUUGUACUUCUCCGCUUCCUUGAUCAUCUUCUCAAUUUGCACUUUAGAUAACCCUUCUUUAUAAUCGGAAAUUACGAUCUUGUUCUUAAUACGAAGUCGUUUUUCCUCAACAGAGACAAUUAAAAUUCCAUUGGCAUCAAUCUCGAAACAAACAAUGAUUUGAGGUUUCCCUAUCGGACCACGAGGAAUUCCAUGGAGCUCAAAAUAACCCAACAAUUUGUUUUUUUGGGCUAUUGUUUCUUCGCCCUCAUACACAGGAAGUAUCAAAAAUGAUUGGUUUGUAUAUCUAGUUGUGGCAACUUGAGUUUUCUUGGUGGGAAUGGUACUAUUUUUUUGGAUGAAAACACCAAAUUCCCUACUCUCAAGCUCUAAACCAAGUGAACGUGGAAUUACAUCCAACAAGAGUAAGUCCUGCACUUUCUCAAUACCACCUCGCAAAACUGCGGCUUGUACGGCAGCACCAUAUGCAACUGCUUCAUCAGGAUUGAUGCUCUUGCAAAGCUCCUUGCCAUCAAAUAAAUCUUGCAACAGUUGUUGUAUCUUGGGAAUUCUACUAGAUCCACCAACAAGAACAAUAUCGUGAAUAAUAUUCCUAUCCAGUUUGGCAUCGGUCACACAGUCCUUCACAAUCUUCAUACAUUUUUCAAAGAGAUCCAUGUUAAGCUCUUCAAAUUUCGCUCUCGUUAUUUUAGAGUGGAAGUCAAUACCCUCAAAUAAAGAAUCAAUCUCAAUGGUGGUUUCAACAGUUGAAGAAAGAACCUGUUUUGCUCACUCACAAGCUGUUCUCAGUUUUCUCAUUGCUUUGAAGUCAUGUCUGAUGUCCUUCUUAUGUUUCUUCUGGAACUCUAGCAAAAAAUGGCUCACAAUUUUAUUGUCAAAAUCUUCACCCCCAAGAUGUGUAUCUCCCGCAGUAGCUUUUACCUCAAAAACUUCGUCUUCAAUUUUAAGUACGGAAACAUCGAAGGUACCACCACCGAGAUCAAAGAUGAGAACAUUAUUACCACCAAUAGUCGUGGCCUUUUUUUCAAGACCGUAUGCAAUAACUGCGGCUGUUGGUUCGUUAAGGAUACGCAUCACAUUCAUCCCUGCUAUCACACUGGCAUCUUUUGUAGCCUGUCGUUGAAAGUUAUUAAAAUAUGCUAGGACUGUUAUAACAACAUCAUUGACUAUCAUUCCAAGGUAGGCCUCUGGAAUUUCACGCAUCUUACUCAAAACCAUUGAAGAUAUCUCCUUCUGCGGCAAAUUGCUUCUCUUCAUUUUUGUAGUUUAUCACAAUCGUAGGCUUGUCACCCACACCACGAACCUUGAAAGGCCAUAAUUUAUCACUCUUGACACAUGCAUCACUGAAUUUCAUGCCAAUCAAUCGCUUCACAUCUUAAAGAUUGUAAACAAGAGCAUAUUACAUUGGACUCGGAUCCUCUCCUCAUAGUUGUCUGCUAAUAUUGCCUCAUAAAUGAAUCUGGACCAUACAAUCGUAAUGGAUGGCCAGAAUUUCUCUUUCAUUCAUUUCGUCUAUCCCUUCUCUUAAGCAAAUUCUCGUCGAGAUUUCUCAUCUCUCUCUCUCUUGGCAAACUCAUAACUAAAAAAAAAAAAUUAAAAAAUAAAUUGGUCGCAUAAUUCCUACUGCAUAUAAUCAUGUACUAGUAUAUACUACUAUGCACUUGCAUAUGGAGAAGAACAAUAGCCCUUCAAAAUGGUCAAAGCCAAAGCCAAACUAGGUUUCGUUAUCAACUUAUCAUGACUUCAAAUUCAAAAACCCAUACCCAACACUACUAGAACCAGUCCUUCUCACAAAGCAUAAACCCAGUAAACAAUUGAGCAAAGAUCAUGGCGUUUGGACCAGUCCAUCUCACAAAGCAUAAACCCAGUAAACAAGCAAAGAUCAUAGCGCUUUCCAAUCGUUGAAGACAAAGACGAAGACCCACCAGCACAAUCUUCUUGCUUCAUCGA